UGGUAGGCAGUCCUCUACAAUAAAAAAUUUUGAGGUAUUGUAUGUAACUAAACUCCUAAAUUUAUAUUUUUAUAGAACCGCCAGCGGGUCUAUUUUAAGUUUCUGUUAUUUAGAAUGAGUCUGAUGAUCUAUCCAUUUGUUUCAGAGAAUACAAGAUAGUUUUGGAUGCACAGCCAUUAUAUCUUCUGGAAUUUUCCGCAUUCAUUAGACAUCGCUGGGAAAACCAAAAUGGGAACAGAUUGAUAAGCAGUGUUACUCUUGCUUUCAUCAACCAACAAGAACUUCAAAUCACAGCUUGGGCUCUUUGCCAUCAUGAAGUUUGGGAGAUUAUGGCCAGUAAUUAUCUCUCAGUGGGACUGUCUGGUAAAAUUUCAAGUUGAAGCAGUAAUAGAAAAUACAUUUCUGAUGCUUUGGACAGUUCAAGCUUUGAGCUGAAUACUGACAGAAGGACCAAUUGAACUUGCUUUGCAAUUGGAACCCUUAGAAGAUGGAACAUGACUUAUUGAUAGUGCACAACUGGCUUUUUCUGUUGCAGUUCUUUACAGGCCUUGAAGGGAAUUUUCAGUGUCAUUUUCUUUCUUCACUUGUACUGGCCUAUGCUUUGAACCUAGUUUUUGCACCUUUUCAGGAUAAUCUUGAUCCUCAAUUACUUAUCUAUAUGUUUAUAAAUUCCUACUUCUUACAUUUGAGUCUUGAAAUACAUACAUUUAAAACUUCACCUCUAGAAAAAGUUAGCAUA
Molecule: long non-coding RNA, 739 nt
Organism: Hevea brasiliensis (rubber tree)
Lineage: Eukaryota; Viridiplantae; Streptophyta; Magnoliopsida; Malpighiales; Euphorbiaceae
Exons: 2
Source: RefSeq, a predicted model, not a curated record